AGCUUCUUGGACCCCUCACCUUCUGGA
Molecule: non-coding RNA, 27 nt
Filed under: Mus musculus (house mouse)
Lineage: Eukaryota; Metazoa; Chordata; Mammalia; Rodentia; Muridae
Source: RNAcentral